RNAcentral lists this ribosomal RNA (583 nucleotides) under uncultured bacterium. Its description in RNAcentral is "partial 16S ribosomal RNA". It matches the Rfam family "Bacterial small subunit ribosomal RNA", at positions 355 to 935 of the family's 1533-position model. The record is from RNAcentral.
UGGGGAAUUUUGGACAAUGGGCGAAAGCCUGAUCCAGCAAUGCCGCGUGUGUGAAGAAGGCCUUCGGGUUGUAAAGCACUUUUGUCCGGAAAGAAAUCCUUGGCUCUAAUACAGUCGGGGGAUGACGGUACCGGAAGAAUAAGCACCGGCUAACUACGUGCCAGCAGCCGCGGUAAUACGUAGGGUGCAAGCGUUAAUCGGAAUUACUGGGCGUAAAGCGUGCGCAGGCGGUUUGCUAAGACCGAUGUGAAAUCCCCGGGCUCAACCUGGGAACUGCAUUGGUGACUGGCAGGCUAGAGUAUGGCAGAGGGGGGUAGAAUUCCACGUGUAGCAGUGAAAUGCGUAGAGAUGUGGAGGAAUACCGAUGGCGAAGGCAGCACCCUGGGCCAAUACUGACGCUCAUGCACGAAAGCGUGGGGAGCAAACAGGAUUUAGAUACCCCUGGUAGUCCACGCCCUAAACGAUGUCAACUAGUUGUUGGGGAUUCAUUUCCUUAGUAACGUAGCUAACGCGUGAAGUUGACCGCCUGGGGAGUACGGUCGCAAGAUUAAAACUCAAUGAAUUGACGGGGUCAUAGCUGUUU